This 739-nucleotide long non-coding RNA is filed under the name Coturnix japonica (Japanese quail). Its description in RNAcentral is "lncRNA (ENSCJPG00005009569.1)". Lineage: Eukaryota; Metazoa; Chordata; Aves; Galliformes; Phasianidae. The record is from RNAcentral.
AUCCACUGCAGGCCCCACUCACCAUGUUAGCAUGGAGAUUUAGGUUACCUAAGAAUAUUUCCCUGAAGUCAAUACUGUUCUGUCAUAGAGAGUUUGUAGUAGAUGAAGCUUGCUACAACAGCUUUGUGUACAUUCUCAUUUCCCAACAGGCAACAGGAUUAAUAGCUACAAUGGAGAUAGAAAACAAGUAUGUGUUUGCCUGGAUGCACAUUUGAAGUAAUGAUUUUCAUUUUUGCACAAACAGGAAAAUGGAACAAACAUGAUCACCACAUCUGCAAUGUGAGGUGUCAGUACUAUUGUAACUCAGAGAUAAUGUCCUGCAGUAUGCUGAGUGUGCUCUUAGAGAAGAAAAAAGCCUUCAGAGAAACAAGCCUACAUUUGCUGCUAUAUCAGGCAAACCACCAGGAUGGAUCCCAGCAACAAGCUAAAAUGCUGCAGUCUGCAAACAUUGUAAUCUGGGAUUAUACCUAUGUUGGAUUAUCCAACUGGCAAACCAGUUAUGGAAAUUAAUUUUUAUAUCAGAUUCCUGUGAUUCAUUUACAGUGACGCUGUUAAAAAAAGCACAUAUAUUGGUUAAUGUCCUUGUGAGAAUGGAAAUUAAACUUUUGUUUUGUUUUGUUUUGUUUUGUUUUAACACAGCACGAAACAUUGUUUGGCCUCAGACAUAGGAAACAUGGAUUUAAAUUAAAGGAAAGGUAUUAGUAAUAAAUACAUUCCACACAGAUUUAUCUCUUCUUCC